Molecule: long non-coding RNA, 534 nt
Organism: Monodelphis domestica (gray short-tailed opossum)
Lineage: Eukaryota; Metazoa; Chordata; Mammalia; Didelphimorphia; Didelphidae
Source: RefSeq, a predicted model, not a curated record
AAAUGAAGACUCCAAGAGAUGAAGAAUCGUGACCAGGGUCAAAUAGGUGACAAAAAUAAGAGCCAGGAUUUAAAACCAGAUCUUUUGACGCUACAUGCACUCUGGCUUAGAAGAGGAAAUGAAGACUCCAAGAGAUGAAGAAUCGUGACCAGGGUCAAAUAGGAGGAAAUUUCAUUGAAGUUACUUUCCCAAGAUCUGAUAUCACAGUACGAAGCAGAGCUGGGACUUGAACUCUUAUGUUCUGACUCCAAAUUGCAUGUUGCUUCCUCAGCAUCAUAGAAAACCAGCAACAACUGGAGUGAUCAGGGAAUGCUUCCUGGAGGAGACGACAUCUGAGCUUGAAGACAAAGGAUGCUUUUGAAAGGAAAAGACGACCAUCGAGUGAUCAAAGAUCAUUGAAUCACAGAACCUCAGAGCUGGCAGGAACCUCCAGGAGCAUUCUAGCUCAACCUGUGCCUUUGCAGAAUGUGAAUUCCUUGAGGAUAAAGAUGACACAUCAUUGGUGUCUAAUAAACGUUUGAUGAAUAUAUUCAA